UUUUUUUGGCCUCCCCGAUGAACUGCUCUUUAUGAUUUGGCUCGACCAAAAACAGCUCGAGACAGACUUCCUGAACAUCCGCCAACACGACACCAGUCAAGCCAGAGGCCUAGCACACCUACAAUAACAAGACCGAGCCUUAUUCCGACGGACAGCCACAAAGUAGCUAUGCGCCAAAGACCUUUACAAAACGGGUUGAGGACAGCAACAUCUCCACAAAGGCACACCAGAACAUCAACACCAGCCGGAAGAACCCAUCCACUCGAAGACAGAACGCAAGCGACUAACUCCAGUGCUGGGAUGAUGAGUUCAAACCAAGAAAACCUGAGACACCACCUAAACCGAAGACCCCUCGGAGAGGAAGAGCGACUCAGACAAGUGGAGAGGAACCCAUCCACUCGAAGACAGACCCGGGUUCUGUCUCUCGUUUUAACUGUGGUUUAACCUCUUGCGGCAAGUGGUAAGUAUGGAAUGGUUGAAGCCGCUUGAUUUCGGUUUGGUUGGUUGUGUCUGUCCCUGCUAGACUAGAUCAAGUUGUUGUUUAGAUUUUGUUUAUUUUUCUAUUUUUUGUUGCCUCUGUACUUCUGUCAAAAAUUUGAAAAUUGGUAAUAAUAUCUUUACAUUUUACCA
This 630-nucleotide long non-coding RNA is filed under the name Brassica napus (rape). Its description in RNAcentral is "long non-coding RNA (BNAP_LNC001907)". The record is from RNAcentral. Lineage: Eukaryota; Viridiplantae; Streptophyta; Magnoliopsida; Brassicales; Brassicaceae.